UUAGGUUAUGAGCGUUCCCGAUAGGAAUCAUUACUACUAGAUCCUUGUAACCGAAAUUAUUUUAGGGGGAAUUUUAAGUUG
This 81-nucleotide small RNA is filed under the name Pediococcus argentinicus. RNAcentral describes it as "SAM-III sequence". It matches the Rfam family "SAM-III riboswitch aptamer (SMK box)". The record is from Rfam by way of RNAcentral. Lineage: Bacteria; Bacillati; Bacillota; Bacilli; Lactobacillales; Lactobacillaceae.